UCCCAUAUUGUCUAGUGGUUAGGAUACCUGGCUCUCACCCAGGAGGCCCGGGUUCGAUUGCCGGAAUGGGAA
This is a non-coding RNA of Daphnia pulex (common water flea), 72 nucleotides long. NCBI's taxonomy places the organism in Eukaryota, Metazoa, Arthropoda, Branchiopoda, Diplostraca, Daphniidae. The record is from Rfam.